AUGAGGUGUGGAUAGGGGAGAAAUUCCAAUCGAACCCGGAGAUAGCUGGUUCUCCUCGAAAUAGCUUUAGGGCUAGCCUCGAUUUAGUCUUAUGGAGGUAGAGCACUGAAUUUCCGCGGGGGCGUCAAAGCUUACCAAAGAAUAUCAAACUCCGAAUGCCAUGUAGAUGAUGAUCGGGAGUCAGACUGCACGAGAUAAGUUGGGCAGUCAAAAGGGAAAGAGCCCAGACCACCGGCUAAGGUCCCAAAGUGCGUGUUAAGUGGAAAAGGAUGUGGGAAUUCGAAGACAACUAGGAUGUUGGCUCAGAAGCAGCCAUACAUUCAAAGAGUGCGUAACAGCUCACUAGUCGAGAGUUCCUGCGCCGAAAAUGUCCGGGGCUGAAACACGACACCGAAGCCGUGGACUCGCAAUGCGAGUGGUAGAGGAGCAUUCUUAAAACCGACGAAGCUGUACCGAAAGGAGCAGUGGAGGGAUAAGAAGAGAGAAUGCCGGAAUGAGUAGCGAGAGAAAGGUGGGAAUCCUUUCGGCCGAAUAUCUAAGGUUUCCAGAGUAAAGCUGAUCUGCUCUGGGUAAGUCGGGGCCUAAGCACAGGUCGCAAGACGUAAGCGAUGGAUAACAGGUUUAGAUUCCUGUACCACGCAUUAUCAGAACUGUAGGGACGCAUGUGGAAAGCACGGGCCGGGAAUGGAAAGACCGGUACAAGCGGGGUAGGUGUACAAUAGGCAAAUCCGUUGUAUAAUCCGAAGACGUGAUGUGGAGCGAAAUAAAGUAGUGAAGCGUGUGAGCCAUGUGCCGAGAAAAGCUGCUAUUGUGUAAUGCGUGCCCGUACCGUAAACCGACACAGGUGGAUGAGGAGAGAAUCCUAAGGCCGGCGGAAGAAGCAUUGUUAAGGAAUUCGGCAAAAUGACCCCGUAACUUCGGGAGAAGGGGUGCCUGCGAGAGCAGGCCGCAGAGAAUAGGCUCAAGCAACUGUUUAGCAAAAACACAGGUCUAUGCGAAACCGAAAGGUGAGGUAUAUGGGCUGACGCCUGCCCGGUGCUGGAAGGUUAAGAGGAGAGGUUAGCGCAAGCGAAGCUUUGAAUUUAAGCCCCAGUAAACGGCGGCCGUAACUAUAACGGUCCUAAGGUAGCGAAAUUCCUUGUCGGGUAAGUUCCGACCCGCACGAAAGGCGUAAUGAUUUGAGCGCUGUCUCGACAAUGCAUCCGGUGAAAUUGAAGUACCAGUGAAGAUGCUGGUUACC
RNAcentral lists this ribosomal RNA (1240 nucleotides) under human gut metagenome. RNAcentral describes it as "bacterial LSU rRNA". It matches the Rfam family "Bacterial large subunit ribosomal RNA", at positions 804 to 2070 of the family's 2925-position model. The record is from RNAcentral.